GACCUGGUAGCUCAGCUGGUAGAGCAUCUCCCUUUUAAGGAGAGGGUCCAGGGUUCGAACCCCUGCCAGGUCA
This 73-nucleotide transfer RNA is filed under the name Flavobacteriales bacterium. Its description in RNAcentral is "tRNA-Lys". It matches the Rfam family "tRNA". Rfam says of the family: Transfer RNA (tRNA) molecules are approximately 80 nucleotides in length. RNAcentral also lists the same sequence under 2 other names. The record is from RNAcentral. Lineage: Bacteria; Pseudomonadati; Bacteroidota; Flavobacteriia; Flavobacteriales.